Molecule: long non-coding RNA, 531 nt
Filed under: Mytilus galloprovincialis (Mediterranean mussel)
Lineage: Eukaryota; Metazoa; Mollusca; Bivalvia; Mytilida; Mytilidae
Source: RNAcentral
CUCUGUACUUAUACAUCCCGUCAUUGUGGAAUAUGACAGUUGUUAUCCAUUCGUUUGAUGUGCUUGAGCAGGUUUUGCCAUUUUAUUAGGGACUUUACGUUUUGAAUUGUCUUCGGAGUUCAGUAUUUUUGUGAUUUUCUAUUAAACUCUUGAAAUUCAUAAAUGAAAUGCGCUUGUAGCAAACAUAGGCACAAUGUUUUCAUCAGUAACAGCAUUGGUUGAACGUUUUAGAAGUAAUAAUAUGGAAGCAACAUAACGUGCUGUGAGAUUUUCUAUCCAGAACUAUUACUCCUGGACGGCAGAAGUAAAACACAUCAAUAUAGAGCUUGACCUCCAUUUAGUCGUCAGCAUUAAUAUAUAAUGAGUUUUAAAGCAUUGGUCAAGUAGUUCAUAGAUAGUCAAGUCCACGGAAAUCACAAACUGACCUUUUCCAAUAGAUCAAGGAUCACAACUCGUGAACGGCAACAAAGAAAAGCGUCGAAGUCGAAUUUGAUCAUCAUUUUGUCAUCAGCAACCGCAUUUCGGUUGAUG